Long non-coding RNA from Bos taurus (domestic cattle), 826 nucleotides. Lineage: Eukaryota; Metazoa; Chordata; Mammalia; Artiodactyla; Bovidae. The record is from Ensembl.
CCUUAUCUAUUUAAAAUCUUCUACUGGACAACUCACACAGAACACCAAGUUCUUAGCAAUAAUUAGGGAAGGGAGAGAAUUCAGGGAGCAUUAUUUGCAAAACCGAGAACUGUGGAGGCAGGGCAGGGUACAUUGUCUUUAUGAACACAGCAGAGUUACUAGGCAUUUAUUUUCAUCUUCAUUUAACAGACUUAAAAAAAAGCCUUAAUUUUUAUUUUGGAGAAUAGUUGAUUAGCAAUGUUGUGUUUCAGGUGUAGAGCAAAGCAAGUCAGUUAUACACAUGCAUGUAUCUGUUCUUUUCCACAUUCUUUUCCCAUUUAGAUGUUACACAGUAUUGAGCAGUGCUAUAUGGUAGGUUCCCUGUGCUAUAUAGUAGGUUCUUAUUGGUUGUCCAUUUUUAUUUUUUAAAUUAAUUUUAUGGAAGUAUAGUUUCUUUACAGUUAGUUUAACAGACUCUUUGGAGAGCAGAUCCAAUGUGGGGGGUGGGGGCUGGUCUUGAAAAAGCCAAAGGUUGUAGUAGGCUUUAAAAAAGGCUAGAUCUUGCCUUUGAGGGGUGGUCUAGAUCAGGCCCUGAGGUUCUUUUUAAUAGAAAGAGAAGAAAGCUAUCCUCUUCUUAUGUGAUUACUUUCAAGAUUUCCCCUCAGGCUAUAUUCAAGAGGACCAGGAUCUAGUCUCUGCUGGAGACUUGUGAAAAAUACAAGGGAACUUGGAAAAGCCACGUGAAGGAGAGAGGAGCAGAAGUGCACUCAGAACUGUGUGAAGCGAGGCCAUGGUGUGAAGGCUCACCUGCCACCAUCCUGAAGCCCUGGUGACUACUCAUCGAGUC